UACAGAGGUCCCGAGCGUUGUUCGGAUUCCUUGGGCGUAAAGGGUGCGUAGGUGGCGCUGUAAGUGGGGUGUGAAAUCCCGAGGCUUAACCUCGGAACUGCGUCUGAAACUACUCGACUAGAGUACUGGAGAGGGUAACGGAAUUCACGGUGUAGCAGUGAAAUGCGUAGAUAUCGUGAGGAACACCAGAGGCGAAGGCGGUUACCUGGACAGUUACUGACGCUCAGGCACGAAAGCAUGGGGAGCAAAAGGG
This 253-nucleotide ribosomal RNA is filed under the name uncultured bacterium. Its description in RNAcentral is "partial 16S ribosomal RNA". It matches the Rfam family "Bacterial small subunit ribosomal RNA", at positions 524 to 776 of the family's 1533-position model. The record is from RNAcentral.